RNAcentral lists this ribosomal RNA (342 nucleotides) under uncultured bacterium. RNAcentral's name for it is "bacterial SSU rRNA". It matches the Rfam family "Bacterial small subunit ribosomal RNA", at positions 29 to 394 of the family's 1533-position model. The record is from RNAcentral.
AACGAACGCUGGCGGCAGGCUUAACACAUGCAAGUCGAGCGCACCGCAAGGUUGAGCGGCAGACGGGUGAGUAACGCGUGGGAAUCUACCCAGUUCUGCGGAAUAACACAGGGGAAACUUGUGCUAAAUACCGCAUACGCCCUCCGGGGAAGAUUUAUCGGAAUUGGAUGAGCCCGCGUUAGAUUAGCUAGUUGGUGGGGUAAAGGCCUACCAAGGCGACGAUCUAUAGCUGGUCUGAGAGGAUGAUCAGCCACACUGGGGACUGAGACACGGCCCACGACUCCUACGGGAGGCAGCACGUGGGGAACUAGUUGGACAAUGGGCGAAAGCCUGAUCCAGCCA